CCCUUUACGCCACAGCAGUUACCAUCAGGAAAAGGGAGCGGGUCAGAAGGCAGCGCGGCGGCAAGCAGCGACUCUCCUUCGAGAAUUUCUUUAAUUGGGGAGCCGAGGCGGCUUUUGGUCUCCAGCUUUUCCCCCUGCAUUUUCACCGGGGCAGGAUUCUUAGAUCCUUUCAAUAUACACUUCCAGAAAAAGGGAAGCCCCGUGGUGGCCCUUGACAAGUAAAGGAAGUUGGGAAGUGAAUGAAGUGAGGUCGUCAAAGUCCUACAUUUUAGCUUUCAGUGCUGAACUUCCUUCUCCCUUAAAUUAUUAUAAACUUUUGCUGCUGUUUAAUAAACGUGAAGAUGUCUCGCAGUCCUGAUGCGAAGGAAGACCCUGUGGAGUGCCCUCUUUGCAUGGAGCCCUUGGAGAUAGAUGAUAUCAACUUUUUCCCUUGCACCUGUGGCUACCAGAUUUGCCGAUUUUGUUGGCAUCGAAUUCGCACUGAUGAAAAUGGGCUUUGUCCUGCAUGUAGAAAGCCAUAUCCAGAAGACCCAGCAGUUUAUAAACCACUCUCCC
RNAcentral lists this small RNA (555 nucleotides) under Pan troglodytes (chimpanzee). RNAcentral describes it as "processed transcript". The record is from RNAcentral. Lineage: Eukaryota; Metazoa; Chordata; Mammalia; Primates; Hominidae.